Regulatory RNA element from Gasterosteus aculeatus (three-spined stickleback), 54 nucleotides. It matches the Rfam family "UnaL2 LINE 3' element". From Rfam's summary of the family: The eel long interspersed element (LINE) UnaL2 and its partner short interspersed element (SINE) share a conserved 3' tail containing a stem-loop that is critical for their retrotransposition. The record is from Rfam. NCBI's taxonomy places the organism in Eukaryota, Metazoa, Chordata, Actinopteri, Perciformes, Gasterosteidae.
UUUAAAGUGUAAUGUAAGUCGCUUUGGAUAAAAGCGUCUGCUAAAUGACACGUA